GGAGUUAGCCGGUGCUUCUUCUGUGAGUGAUGUCCUUCCUGCCGGCUAUUAACCCGCAGGCCUUCUUCCUCACUGAAAGUGCUUUACAACCCGAAGGCCUUCUUCACACACGCGGCAUGGCUGGAUCAGGGUUGCCCCCAUUGUCCAAUAUUCCCCACUGCUGCCUCCCGUAGGAGUCUGGGCCGUGUCUCAGUCCCAGUGUGGCUGAUCAUCCUCUCAGACCAGCUACGGAUCGUCGCCUUGGUGAGCCGUUACCUCACCAACCAGCUAAUCCGACAUAGGCUCAUCCGAUAGCGCGAGGCCCGAAGGUCCCCCGCUUUCCCCCGUAGGGCGUAUGCGGUAUUAGCCUGGGUUUCCCCAGGUUAUCCCCCACUACCGGGCAGAUUCCUAUGCAUUACUCACCCGUCCGCCGCUCGCCACCAGGGAGCAAGCUCCCCGUGCUGCCGCUCGACUUGCAUGUGUUAGGCCUGCCGCCAGCGUUCAAUCUGAACCAAGAUCAAUUCUGA
This 506-nucleotide ribosomal RNA is filed under the name uncultured bacterium. RNAcentral describes it as "partial 16S ribosomal RNA". The record is from RNAcentral.